GACGAACGCUGGCGGCGUGCCUAAUACAUGCAAGUUGAGCGCUGAAGGUUGGUACUUGUACCAACUGGAUGAGCAGCGAACGGGUGAGUAACGCGUGGGGAAUCUGCCUUUGAGCGGGGGACAACAUUUGGAAACGAAUGCUAAUACCGCAUAAAAACUUUAAACACAAGUUUUAAGUUUGAAAGAUGCAAUAGCAUCACUCAAAGAUGAUCCCGCGUUGUAUUAGCUAGUUGGUGAGGUAAAGGCUCACCAAGGCGAUGAUACAUAGCCGACCUGAGAGGGUGAUCGGCCACAUUGGGACUGAGACACGGCCCAAACUCCUACGGGAGGCAGCAGUAGGGAAUCUUCGGCAAUGGACGAAAGUCUGACCGAGCAACGCCGCGUGAGUGAAGAAGGGUUUCGGAUCGUAAAACUCUGUUGGUAGAGAAGAACGUUGGUGAGAGUGGAAAGCUCAUCAAGUGACGGUAACUACCCAGAAAGGGACGGCUAACUACGUG
This 497-nucleotide ribosomal RNA is filed under the name uncultured bacterium. RNAcentral's name for it is "partial 16S ribosomal RNA". It matches the Rfam family "Bacterial small subunit ribosomal RNA", at positions 28 to 507 of the family's 1533-position model. The record is from RNAcentral.